UGUGUGUGUGUGUGUAUAUAAAUAUAUAUAUACACACACACGCACAUGUAUGUAUAUAUAGUUAUAUACACACACAUAUAUA
This is a non-coding RNA of Podarcis lilfordi (Lilford's wall lizard), 82 nucleotides long. The record is from the annotation of a GenBank genome assembly. NCBI's taxonomy places the organism in Eukaryota, Metazoa, Chordata, Lepidosauria, Squamata, Lacertidae.